Molecule: long non-coding RNA, 973 nt
Filed under: Homo sapiens (human)
Lineage: Eukaryota; Metazoa; Chordata; Mammalia; Primates; Hominidae
Description: HSALNT0058580
Source: RNAcentral
UUGUGAUAGUGAGUAAGUCUCAUGAGAUCUGUCACUUUUAUAAGGGCAAGUUUCCUUCCACAAGCUCUGUUUUUUUGCCUGCUGCCAUCCAUUUAAGGUGACUUGCUCCUCCUUGCUUUUCGCCAUUAUUAUGAGGCUUCCCCAGCCACAUGGAACUAACCUGGGUUCAUCCUUGGAGCAAUAUAUGAAAGAAAACAGAAAACAGCCACAGGAGCCUGGAGGGACAGAGGAGCUGGUCGCUUUGUGGACCACUGUACACCUGAGAAAGGUGACUCUUGAAAGGAAAAGAGGUAGGAAGACACGGGAUCCUGCUGCCUCUUGGGUGGACACCAUGCAGGUUGCUUGACGUACCCUUUGAAGUUCACGGGCACUGCAAAGAAUGCAUUUUUGUAGCUGAUCCAGCUCAAAUGCCCAGAUUCAUCCACAUCUGCAGCUUAUGUCACAGGGCUGGCAGCUAACAGAAACCAUCAGAUCUGCCUUUGUUUUCUUAUCAAAUCAUAUGUGAUAAUGUCACAACCAGUAAGUUGUGUUUUCAGGUAUGUGUUUGUACUGACUUGACAGUGAACCUAAAAAGUGAAAUAAAUAUGAAGAACGAGAAAUUCUAAAUUCUCACCCUUCAGGGGUGUUGGUAUUAUCAAUUUGCCUGUGUUGUCUUUAAACACACACACACACAUACACACACACACACACACACACACACACACAUCUUCUUUAGCUCUGGUGUAUAGAAAAGCAGGACAAAUCCUACAUUGACAAAUUAAUGACAGUAGUAAGCUAAGUCAUUUUAUUUUAUUUUAUUUUAUUUUUCUUUAUUUAUUAUUAUUAUACUUUAAGUUUUAGGGUACAUGUGCACAAUGUGCAGGUUAGUUACAUAUGUAUACAUGUGCCAUGCUGGUGCGCUGCACCCACUAACUCGUCAUCUAGCAUUAGGUACAUCUCCCAGUGCUAUCCCUCCGCCCUCCCCCCACCGCAC